This 3701-nucleotide ribosomal RNA is filed under the name Triticum aestivum (bread wheat). RNAcentral's name for it is "partial small subunit ribosomal RNA". The record is from RNAcentral. Lineage: Eukaryota; Viridiplantae; Streptophyta; Magnoliopsida; Poales; Poaceae.
GUCUUCUCCUCCUCCUCCUUCCGCUCCGCGCUUCCUGCCAUCAUCCGCGAGGCAGAGGGGUGGCGGCGGCAGGUGAGGCGCGCAAAGAAGCGGGAGCGGAAGAGCCUGGCCACUCGACGGGAGGGAGCGAUGGCGGACUCGACGUCGCCGGCGGCGGCGGCCAGGCUGGAGAAGAGCUACUUCGACGUGCUGGGCAUCUGCUGCCCGUCCGAGGUGCCGCUGGUGGAGAAGCUGCUGGAGCCGCUCGCCGGCGUGCACAAGGUCACCGUCGUGGUGCCGUCCCGGACCGUCAUCGUCCUCCACGACGCCGCCGCCAUCUCCCAGGCCCAGAUCGUGAGGGCGCUGAACGGGGCGCGGCUGGAGGCGUCGGUGCGGGCCUACGGCGGCGCCGGGCAGAGCAAGGUGUCCAACAAAUGGCCCAGCCCGUACGUGCUCGUCUGCGGGGUCCUUCUGGUGGUCUCGCUCUUCGAGCACUUCUGGCGGCCGCUCAGGUGGUUCGCCGUGGCGGGUGCCGCCGCCGGCCUGCCGCCGAUCGUGCUCAGGAGCGUCGCCGCCCUCCGCCGGCGCACCAUGGACGUCAACAUACUCAUGCUCAUCGCAGUUGCUGGGGCCAUUGCUCUGAAGGACUAUCCCGAGGCCGGGUUCAUCGUCUUCCUCUUCACCAUAGCCGAAUGGCUCGAGACCAGGGCAUGCGGCAAGAGACUGGACAAGUGGUUGCUACCCAGGAUGUGAAGAUCAAUACAGUAAUAGCUGUCAAGGCAGGGGAAGUCGUGCCGAUCGAUGGUGUUGUUGUCGAUGGACGGAGUGAGGUCGACGAGAGCACCCUCACUGGGGAGUCCUUCCCGGUGUCCAAGCAGGCAGACUCCCAGGUCUGGGCUGGCACGCUCAACAUAGAUGGUUACAUUGCUGUGAGGACAACUGCUAUGGCCGACAACUCUGCGGUGGCCAAAAUGGCAAGGCUGGUUGAAGAAGCCCAAAACAGUCGGUCCAGUACGCAGAGGCUGAUCGACACUUGCGCCAAGUACUACACACCCGCUGUUAUUUUCAUGUCUGCAGCAGUGGCAGUGAUCCCUGUGUGUGUCAAAGCGCGCAACCUAAGACACUGGUUUGAACUGGCCCUAGUUCUCCUGGUGAGUGCUUGUCCAUGUGCUCUGGUGCUGUCGACACCCGUGGCAACCUUCUGCGCGCUGCUGAGGGCCGCGAGGACGGGGCUCCUCAUCAAAGGAGGGGAUGUGCUCGAGUCCUUGGCCAGUAUCAAAGUUGCUGCCUUCGACAAGACUGGUACAAUCACUAGGGGUGAGUUCUCUGUCGAGGAGUUUCAGACAGUUGGUGAGCGUGUUUCGAAGCAACAACUUAUUUACUGGGUUUCAAGCAUCGAGAGCAGGUCGAGCCACCCAAUGGCAUCUGCUCUUGUUGGUUAUGCUCAAUCAAACUCUGUAGAGCCAAAAUCAGAAAAUGUUGCUGAGUUUCAAAUCUAUCCUGGCGAGGGGAUUUACGGUGAGAUUGAUGGGGAGGGCGUAUAUGUUGGGAACAAAAGGAUCUUGGCAAGGGCAUCGUGUCAAACAGUUCCGGACAUAGUAGAACACAUGAAAGGAGUUACCAUCGGAUACGUGGCCUGCAACAAGGAAUUGAUUGGGGUAUUCAGCCUCUCGGAUUCUUGCCGAACUGGGUCAGCCGAGGCCAUCAAGGAGUUGAGAUCACUGGGCAUCAAGUCAGUGAUGCUUACUGGCGAUAGUACUGCCGCUGCCACACAUGCACAGAACCAGCUGGGGAACAUACUAGCUGAGGUUCAUGCUGAACUUCUGCCAGAAGACAAAGUGAGAAUUGUUGAUGAACUGAAGGCAAGAGAUGGCCCUACACUGAUGAUUGGCGACGGCAUGAAUGAUGCCCCGGCACUGGCUAAGGCUGAUGUUGGAGUCUCCAUGGGCGUGUCCGGUUCAGCCGUCGCAAUGGAGACGAGUCACAUUACUCUGAUGUCAAACGACAUCCGCAGGAUCCCAAAGGCAAUCAAGCUGGCCAGGAGGACGCACCGGACCAUCGUCGUGAACAUUGUCUUCUCGGUGACCACGAAGCUUGCAAUUGUUGGGCUUGCGUUUGCCGGGCAUCCGCUUAUUUGGGCAGCAGUCCUUGCUGAUGUUGGCACAUGCUUGCUGGUGAUCAUGUACAGCAUGCUGCUACUGAGGGAGAAAGGCAGUGGAAAGGUGGUGAAGAAAUGCUGUGCUUCUUCUCACUCAAAAAAGCAUGAGCAUAGUACGUCCCACCACCACUGCUCCAAUGAUCAUCAGCAUGACCAUGUAUCUGCAGGCAAGCAUUCUUGCCAUGAUCAUCACCAUGAGCAUGAUCACCACAAAGAGCCUAGCAACCUGCAUUCCACAGACAAGCAUGGCUGCCAUGAUCAUGGCCAUGGCCAUAGCCACUGCAAAGAGCCGAGCAGCCAGAUGGUGACAAGCAAGCAUGUUUCCCAUGGGCAUGGCCAUACCCACAACAUCUGCAGCCCUCACCCCGCUGUGAGCAAGCAUGAUUGCCAUGACCAUGAACAUAGCCACCACCAAGAACCCAACAGUUCACAUUCUGCCGAUGAGCAUGAUUGCCAUGAUCACAAGCACUGUGAAGAACCAAUCAGCUUGCUUUGUGCCACUGAGCAUGCUUGCCACGACCAUGAGCAGAACCAUGAGCAUCAUUGCUGUGAUGAAGAGCAAACAGUGCAUGUAGCAGAUACGCAUUCCUGCCAUGACCAUAAGCAUGACGACAGUGCGGCUGAUCCAGUUCCAGAGCUGUCGAUAUCUAUCGAGAGCGCAUUGCCUGAUCACCAUGAGCAGGAAAUCCAGUGCAUCAAAGAGCACAAAGAGAAAGCGUGUGGACAUCACCUGAAGGUCAAGGAUCACGUCCCGGCUCCGACAGAUUGCAGCAGGGGAAACUGUCACAGUACGGUGAGCAGCAAGGGAUGUGAAAGCAAAGGCAAAGAAGUUUGUUCAAGCUGGCCGGUUGGUCGUACCGGAAUAAUCCGCAGGUGUUGCAGGACUAGGGCGCGCAGCUGCUGCAGCCACAGCAUGUUGAAACUACCUGAGAUUAUAGUAGAGUAGGAUGGAAAGCAUAGAUGUUAUGUUGGUAAGAUAACCGAAGCGAGUAAUACUAUCUAGAAAGAAACAGCACUGCUGAAGUCGCCUGGUCGGCAUAUAUAGCUAGAUUCCCAUGGCUGAUGAUAGAUAUUUGAUCUGGCUUUGCUUACUUAGCUGCUGAAGAAAUGGUGUAGAAGUCUUAAUUUUCAUGAAGCAGGUGUCAUUCUGAAAUGAUAUGCUGCUCUGGUUUUCUCCUUGUUGAUUCUGCACCUUCCCGAAGAAUUUGAGAAGGUGCAAAGUGAGAGGUUUGUUCAUAGUAUCAGUGUGCUUCAGCAAUAAUUGGAAGAAGCUGGUGCAGAGAUCAGUUUAUAACUUCUUAUUAGGCUUCUUUAUCAGAGUUCAAAGUUGUAAUCAUACUUGACUUGUGUUGAUGGAAAACUUUUAACCAAGUUGGUUUAUUAUGAAACGUUUCGGAAUGUCGCAUAGAAUCAUUGUUGGUCAAGUUAUGAAAUGCUGUAUCCCUUUAAUGCGUUGUCAGUGUCUCGCAUUACAUUAAGGCAGUAAUCUUUUAAGGAUGUAAACUGCAGUUGUGCAGUUGUGGCGAGAACUUAUGGAAACCUGUAAACAUAAGUUUAAAACCCC